GGUCCCUUCGUCUAGUGGUUAGGACAUCAGGUUCUCAUCCUGGUAACAGGGGUUCGAUUCCCCUAGGGACUG
RNAcentral lists this transfer RNA (72 nucleotides) under Candidatus Falkowiibacteriota bacterium. RNAcentral describes it as "tRNA-Glu". It matches the Rfam family "tRNA". Rfam says of the family: Transfer RNA (tRNA) molecules are approximately 80 nucleotides in length. The record is from RNAcentral. Lineage: Bacteria; Candidatus Falkowiibacteriota.